RNAcentral lists this transfer RNA (42 nucleotides) under Hemiselmis andersenii. RNAcentral describes it as "partial Selenocysteine transfer RNA". The record is from RNAcentral. Lineage: Eukaryota; Cryptophyceae; Cryptomonadales; Hemiselmidaceae.
CAGUGGCGCAACUGGGGCCUCAGGGGUUCGAUUCCCGUCCAC